UUAAGUUCAGCGGGUAUCCCUACCUGAUCCGAGGUCAACCAUAGAAAGUUGGGGGUUGCUGGCCAGCCUCCGCCGGGGCCCUGUAGCGAGAAGAAUUACUACGCUCAGAGCCCGACGCGCCGCCACUGAUUUAGAGCCCGCCGGGUGACCGGCGAGGCCCAACACCAAGCAGUGCUUGAGGGUUGUAAUGACGCUCGAAC
RNAcentral lists this unclassified non-coding RNA (200 nucleotides) under Leptodontidium sp. Its description in RNAcentral is "partial internal transcribed spacer 2". Lineage: Eukaryota; Fungi; Ascomycota; Leotiomycetes; Helotiales; Leptodontidiaceae. The record is from RNAcentral.